Molecule: long non-coding RNA, 851 nt
Filed under: Homo sapiens (human)
Lineage: Eukaryota; Metazoa; Chordata; Mammalia; Primates; Hominidae
Description: HSALNT0100759
Source: RNAcentral
GUCUGGAAUCACAGGAAUUAAGAGAAACCACAACUUUUCUCAACUCUCAGCGCAACAUAAAACAUGUCAGCACUUGGGAAAAGGCAGGUUUUGAAGCCAGGAGCCCCUCUUCUUGAGAUCUAUUGGCAACCAUCUUGUGAAGGAAGAGCCCAUUGUGUAGGAGGCAGAUGCUGGAGAAAAAGAGACAACAGGGCCGGGUUUUAUCAUUUGAGACUUGAGUAAAGUCAUACCGGAAGUCACACCCAGUCUACCCUGGGAAGCUUGGUUACAAGGGCCAGUAAAUUCCCUUUUCUUUUCUUUUCUUUUCUUUUUUUUCUUUUUUUUUUUUAAGAGAUGGGGGUCUUACUCUGUUUCCCAGGUUACUCUCGAACUCCUGGCCUGAAGCCCCCUGUCUCUGCCUCCCAAAGUUCUGGGAUUACAGGCUUGAGCUACUGUGCCUGACUAAAUUCCCUUUUUGAUUAAGCCUGUUUAGAUUAGGUUUCUUGUCAACCUGCAACUGAAAGAAUUAUCGCCAAUACAAGGUACAAAGUCCUGAAAGGCAGCUGAUCAGAAGGACCCAUUUUAUCUGCCACCACGUGUUUUUGGACAGUGUGCUCAGUUUGGGAUGUAACUUUGGCCUUGGAGACUUGGUCCUGGGGACUCCCAUGUGUGCAGACCUUGCAUUGUCACCCGUGGUGCUUUUUCUCAGCUCCUCCUCUGAGUGGCAGAAGGAACGCUAAAACUCAGAUUUCCUGCUUCCACUGCAGGCCUUUCUUCAGAUGCUGAAUGCCUUUCUACGUUCACUCCGGAAUUAUUAAUAUCGGACUGACACCCCCCUGCUUCCAUCCUCAAUUCCUGUACAUAUAUGCCUG